GUCUAUUCCUUAGUAGAAAUUUGCAGCAUCAACAUCCCACCAAAGGGGAAGACAAUAAAAGCAAUUCUCUGUGAGUCAACAUGAUGUAACCAACCCAGUGCUGGCCUGACUUAAAUUAGGACUCAACUUUGGAGAAGGUCGACAGGUGGAAAAUGUGGCUGGAAGAGAGGAGUGCUGACUUUAGGUCCCAUUCCUCACUAUCUAAUAUGUUGCCAUGUGGGAUGGUGAUAAGAACUUAGGCUUUAGAUGGAGAUAAAAGUGAAUUUGAUCACCACCACUUAAUAAGCUGUGUGUUCUUGAUGUAUCUGCACCUCCAUUUACUCAUGAUACAAUGGGUGAUACAAUCCUUUUCAUCCAGAUCGUUGUGAGUGAAAGGCAAUGUAGGUGCAGUGCCCAGUACGAUGCCUGGAACAGAACAAGUACAUGAUAAAGAGCAACUACAAAGCCUUCUGUCAUGUCCUUGGGCUGUAUAAUCACUAUGGACAUGGUGAAUUUCUUGGGCCUCAGUCUUACCUUCUGGCAAGGUAUUGGAGAUCCCUCUAGGAAAAACAAGUUGCAUCCUUGCAUUAAAGGAGAAUGGGAACCUGGUUAGAGCCAAAGAUCUUCCAGCCUUUCUCUGGAAUGGACCGAAUAUGGAAUAACAUGGACAUGUCUGAUGUGCAUCUGGAGAUGGGACGGCAGCGCAUAAUACUUCCUGGAACUGCGAGAGGAUGGGGUUGUCUUUUGACAUUGAGACCAUCAGCAGCAUGGACUCGUAAUUUCCAAACAGCAUUUAUGGCAUUAACUUGGGAAUACUAUCCAUCAAGUCUGAUGACAAAUGUGGAAGAUGAUGGUCUUGCCCGCUGCCGGCUCAAGCAGCCAACUGUGCUAGGGAGGCAAGAAGAUGCAAUAACAGAGAAGCUUGGUGGCGUGGCCAGUCUCCCAGGCAGCCUGCCUGGAAAACAGUGACAACAAACUGUGGAAACUUUCACUGUCAAAAAGAGGAGGGCUUCACCAGUGACGUUUUGCAGACACAAUCUAGACCCUGCUAAUAAUAACAACAGCUGCUUUUUAACCUGCUACAUGCCAGGUGCUCAGCAUUCAUUAUCUUAAAUCCUGCCUGUCAUCCAGCAAGGUGGGUAUUAUUAUACCCAUUUAAUAGAUAAAAAGACUGAGGAGCAAAGAGGUUGAGUGACUUGCCAGGAGCUGGUGAGUCAGGAUUUGAAUUCAUGCCUGUCUAACUGCAAAGAGAGAGGAGGUGCAACAGAUCCAGGUUUUCAAGUUUGACUUUUCCAAGCAUUGCACGGAGUGACCGUCACCAUCACCAAG
Molecule: long non-coding RNA, 1308 nt
Filed under: Macaca mulatta (Rhesus monkey)
Lineage: Eukaryota; Metazoa; Chordata; Mammalia; Primates; Cercopithecidae
Description: lncRNA (ENSMMUG00000064339.1)
Source: RNAcentral